ACUCCUACGGGAGGCAGCAGUGGGGAAUAUUGGACAAUGGGCGCAAGCCUGAUCCAGCCAUGCCGCGUGAGUGAUGAAGGCCCUAGGGUUGUAAAGCUCUUUCACCGGUGAAGAUAAUGACGGUAACCGGAGAAGAAGCCCCGGCUAACUUCGUGCCAGCAGCCGCGGUAAUACGAAGGGGGCUAGCGUUGUUCGGAUUUACUGGGCGUAAAGCGCACGUAGGCGGACUAUUAAGUCAGGGGUGAAAUCCCGGGGCUCAACCCCGGAACUGCCUUUGAUACUGGUAGUCUUGAGUUCGAGAGAGGUGAGUGGAAUUCCGAGUGUAGAGGUGAAAUUCGUAGAUAUUCGGAGGAACACCAGUGGCGAAGGCGGCUCACUGGCUCGAUACUGACGCUGAGGUGCGAAAGCGUAGGGAGCAAACAGGAUUAGAAACCCUGGUAGUCCCAUG
RNAcentral lists this ribosomal RNA (448 nucleotides) under uncultured organism. Its description in RNAcentral is "partial 16S ribosomal RNA". It matches the Rfam family "Bacterial small subunit ribosomal RNA", at positions 335 to 799 of the family's 1533-position model. The record is from RNAcentral.